This is a long non-coding RNA of Sapajus apella (tufted capuchin), 2357 nucleotides long. RefSeq lists it as uncharacterized. The transcript is spliced from 2 exons. Lineage: Eukaryota; Metazoa; Chordata; Mammalia; Primates; Cebidae. The record is from RefSeq and is a predicted model, not a curated record.
GCACCCAGCCAAAAUUGCCCACUUUCUGCCUCAGAAGUGAAGUGGUACCCAUAAGGCAGGAAGCCUGUACUUCUUCCCCUAAGCUAGCUUUGGAAUUAAAAGUCACUUUCUUUCUACCAGGCCUUGCUCUUCUUAAUUGGAUUCAGAAGAACCUGCAAUUCAGUGACACGGUGAUCAGCAGAAAGCCUGCUGGCCUCGUGAGCAAGUAACCUUUGCAAGCAUUCAUAGGUUCCCGGGGGGUGUGUGCACUUGUGUGUGGGGGAUAACUUUGGACCCACCUUGUUACUGUCCCAUGGUCAGUAGUUUCUAUUCCAAACUCUGUUUUUUCUGUCUGCUUUUUGGAGCUCCUAAUAAGGCGAUCGGAGCACAGACUCUUCUGCUUGGCACAUUCUCGGUUCCGCGCACCCCACCCAUUUCAUUUUGUGCUUCAGUAUCGCAGUUUCCAACAGUAGGACGCCUGGUUUUUGGAUGACAUUAAUGAGUUAAGAGCAGCAGAUUUAUAAACAUAUCCAAGAGCUUUCAGGCUUUGAAGAUAAAAGCACAGCCUGUUUCACGGCUCGAAACUUUCCAUGACAUGCUGCGGAGACAGGAAGCGCAUUUGCGGUCCCAGGCGCAUUCUAAGAGGUUCAUUUAGAGAGAGGGUAUCUGAUUCAAAAGCAGCGACCCUUACUUCCUAAACUGUGAAGGACACCGGACUGCUCCGUAGUCCUCAGAGUCAGAAGUGACCACGCAAUGGCGCUGCCCUGACGCCAAGGCUCCCACUAGCUCGGUAAAGCGGCGGGGAAUGCCCUGAGACACCAGACUAUGCUCAGCUGUGAUCAUGUCCUAAAGGGAAGGGUAGCAGCCGCUUGGAAAAUGGGACGUGUAUGUUUGUCAACACCACUAAAAGUUAAAGGCCUCACACGGAAAAACUGGGUUAAAAUACAAACUUCAAUGUAUUAUUAUUGUUUUAUCUUCUCAAGGAGAACUGAGAAGUAAUGAUCCACACAUUUGUCAUGCUCAACAGAGCCUUAAGGGAAGUUAACACAGAACAUUAAACACCAUCUAUUAAAGAAUCUCAUUUCACAAUAGUGAGUAAAAGGAAAAAAACAUGAGCAAACAAAGGAGGCCAUUCUUCCCCCCAGUUUAUUUUCAUGCUCAAACUAAGCUAUUAGUUACAAGAGGGGAAGAAAGACAAACUUAAAUGCUUUUAAAAUUUAGGCUAUAAUAGAAUUGUUUUUUCUUGCGAAAUACUGUUUUAAGUCCCUCUAUUCAGAAUACCACCCUGCACCUUAGAGCAGUGACUGCUGGCCUCACUUCCUUGACUUUGAUUUGAGAUUUCCUGGAAGCAACGUUGUCUUUUUCUGUUUUCCAGCCCAUUUCUCCUCACUAGACGCUUGAACUCCUUAGAGACCAGGCUGGUGUCUCCAGCCUCCCGUGCCUCCCACCUCACCUCCUGGCAUCUCCAGCACCCACACAGCGCUGUGGCCCCAGGCAUGGCCACUACUGGUGGGCUGCAUCCCAAGAGGUGACCAUGGCAUUCCCAGAGAAUGCAGCUCGUGUUCUCAGACAGGCACGGGCCAGCUGUGUCUGUUUCACUCUGUGAGCAGGUCUGAACCUGUAACUGCUCUUUUAUUUUAGUCUUGAGAAAGAUCCAUUUUGUUGUGAAUGCCGUCUCUACAGAAGGAGAGUCCUUGUUGGGACUAGGAUAAAAUUAUCAAAAUUAGCCCCAGAAACAGCAGUAAUUUAGGAGUGCCUUACCUUAUCCUGAGGUGGUUUGUUCGGCAACGGUUGAUGUGCCCUGCUAGUGAAAGCACCCUGCAAGCCAUUGGAAUCACUGUUCCUGUUUUCCAGGACUGGGAAGAGAGGCAGAUAAACGCAUGGGCAUAUUUUUUCCAGAGUCAGAAGUGAUGCAGGAGCAUAGGCAGCGGUGUGGGUGCCCUCAGGAGAGACACCACACACAGUUAGGAGGGGUGCAGGAAACUUUCCUGCAGAGGGGCUGUCUCAAAAGAUGGACAGCAAUCAGUAAGAGAAGGGGAGGCAGAGAGGCCAUACCAGGCAGAAGUAAUGGUGGGUAUGAAGGCAAGGAGGUGAGAAGAGCAUAGAUGGUCUUAGAAAUGACAGAGGAAGUUUAGAGCGCUGCACGCAUGACAGUGGCGGGGGGCGGGGGCAGAUUAUAAAAAACUGGCAAUGCUGUGUGGAGGAUUUAGACUUUAUUCUAAGGGUAUUUUGACAGGCAGCCUCUGAGACAGCUUCUGGGAAAUGUUCCCUCCUUGUCUAUAUUUUGGAAGAAUCUGUGAAGGAUUGAUGUUAAUUCUUCAUUAAAUGUUUGGUAAAAUUCAUCAGUGAAGGCAUCUGGUCAUGGGCUUUUAUUUUGU